RNAcentral lists this ribosomal RNA (460 nucleotides) under uncultured bacterium. RNAcentral describes it as "partial 16S ribosomal RNA". It matches the Rfam family "Bacterial small subunit ribosomal RNA", at positions 338 to 795 of the family's 1533-position model. The record is from RNAcentral.
CCUACGGGUGGCAGCAGUGAGGAAUAUUGGUCAAUGGACGAGAGUCUGAACCAGCUAAGUAGCGUGAAGGAUGACUGCCCUAUGGGUUGUAAACUUCUUUUAUAUGGGAAUAAAACAGGGUAUGCAUACCCUCUUGUAUGUACCCGAUGAAUAAGGAGCGGCUAACUCCGUGCCAGCAGCCGCGGUAAUAAGGAGGAUACGAGCGUUAUCCGGAUUUAUUGGGUUUAAAGGGCGCGUAGGUGGAUGGUUAAGUCAGUUGUGAAAGUUUGGGGCUCAACCGUAAAAUGGCAGUUGAAACUGGCAGUCUUGAGUACAGUAGAGGUGGGCGGAAUUCGUGGUGUAGCAGUGAAAUGCGUAGAUAUCGCGAAGAACUCCGGUUGCGAAGGCAGGUCACUGGACUGCAACUGACGCUGAGGCACGAAGGUGUGGGUAUCGAACAGGAUUAGAUACCCUUGUAGUC